GCUAAAUUUCAAAAAAAAAAAAUCACAUGCUGGCAGGCUGCUCAUAUUUGAAGCUUAUGGAACCUCAAACUUGUAGCUGCAAUGUCUCCUCUUGGUUCUUUGAUUCCCUUCUUCUCCCCUUCAGAAAAUGUUAAUAGUUCCUCUUGGCUCUUAACCAGAGUUUUCUUAGCUGGAGGUGCUGAAUAGACUGGUACAACUGUGCGGAUGUGAACAGGUGGUGCGAUAAAAUUACCAGAAUUUGUAUUUCUUGUUGUCAAACUAUGCAUAAAAGGGCUUGAACUCUUUGGUCUGAGACCACAAGUAGAUAUAAAACCAGAUGUUGUACCUGUCACAGGAACUGCAGUUGUACAUGGUACAAAACCAUCCACUGGAAUGUUUUGUGGUCUAUUACUAGGCAUCAAGUGGAUCAGGCUGUGUGGGUUUUCUUUGACCUCAGCAGUGCUGAUAACUCCAGGUCUAAAUCUUUCAUCUGUGAGUCUGGGUGAAAGCAAGUAAUGCUGGCGCAUGCAGUUAUUUACUUUUUCAUUUCCCUGUAGUAUUUCUUGCAUCCUCUGUUCAGAAUGAUCCUUUAGAGAAGCCAGAGAAUUAGGAACUUUAACUGGAGACAGACCAGAUGCAUUUGUUGAGAACUCGGCUUUCCAACAAUCAGAAUCUCCAUCACUAUGAAGCCGCUUCUUUUCCACCAGAGGGUUUUCCUCUAUCUGUCGCAUGGAGACAUGGGAGACAUUACUAACUUGUAUAGGCAUUGGAUGACUUGCCAAACGGAGAAAUUGACUGAUUUCUGGAACAAGGCAGACAGGUUCUUGCUCCUGUGCUAGGCAAUGCCGUUGAUAAUUUGGCUGGAAUAUGGACUGAAUAAAUGGGAAAAUAUGAGGGUAUGGUAAAGAUGCAAGUGCCAAUAAAUGGUUCUGCUGUUGGGAUGCUCUUUGUUGGAGCCAAGUUGGGUACAAGGGCACUUCUCGGAAAAAGUGAGAGUAUGCCCACUUUUGGCACUCCAAAGAGUGCAAUGAUCUAAUACUACCAUUACUAUCACCACCAUAUUGGACAAUAUCCCCCUGAAAAGCAGCAGAGCCUGGACCAGACUGCCGGUCUCUUUGUGCUGACUUCUUUUUCACUGGUGGUCGCAGUAUAGAAAGAUAACGAGCAACAGUUACUUGUUCUUGUUCAUCAUUGCCUUCAAAUACUCGUAAAGGAUGAGAAGAAUAGGAAGAGGAAGAAGAGCCAGGCUUUGACACUGUGCAAGCAUCACAAGUAGCAUCAGAUGGCAGUUAAGAUUUCAUAAACACUGAUACUUCCUGUUAUUAAAAAUCCUGCUGCUUAAGGAUUCAACUAUCUGACUGACAAAUCAAACAGUCAAUUUGUUAAGGAAAGUGGGAGCGGCAAUGUUCAUGCAAUUCAACUAGGUUAAGGAAAAAAAGAGGUGUUUUGAAAUCAAUCAAAAGAUUCUAAAGAUGUCAAAAGAGCCACUAGCAUCAAAAGCAAUAAUUUCAAUCACUGCAUACUUUAAGGAGAAAUUCAAGGUCAUUAUCUCCAAGCCCAAGCCAACUAAGUGAUUCUACCAAAAGUCAAAAUAUGCAUGGAAUUUAUACCUGGUAGUUCUUGGCUGAAACAUACCAGAACAACACGAAGAAGGUAACAAGAGGAAGAAAACACAUACACUCUUUCAAGGCAGACCAUGCAGUCAUUGCUGCAUUUUUCUGAGCUUGCUUCUUGGUUUUAGCUUGUUCUCCUGUAAAACUUAUUCCAGCAAGUUCUACGGUACAAGAAAAAACAGGAACAUGGCUUGGCCCAUAUCGAACUGUAGUAUAAACUGGAUUUUUCAAUCCAGCUCUGUGAGCAGUCUCUUGA
Molecule: unclassified non-coding RNA, 1848 nt
Filed under: Hevea brasiliensis (rubber tree)
Lineage: Eukaryota; Viridiplantae; Streptophyta; Magnoliopsida; Malpighiales; Euphorbiaceae
Source: RNAcentral